AUGAAGAGGAAGCCCCGAGGUGCCUGAGAGUCAAUGGUGAAGCCCAUGGUUUCUAACCCUUUAAUGAUCAGAGCAGGUGGAGCUCCGAAUCUCUUAAGUUCGGAUAGUAAAUCGUCUUGCGGAUAGCAUAUAUUUCAGACGGCCACAUGAAAGGGCUCACAUCAAUUACUGGAAUGUGAUUUUGGAGUUGACAAAUGUACCAGAGUGAUUUGGAAUGACUCUACUGUUUCAACAGCUUUAUCGAAAGGCUGGAGCCGAUGGAUAGCAAUCAAAAUAUUCUCUUUCCUUUUCUCUCUCUCCCUCCCUCCCCCCUCCCCACCCCGCCCCGGUCUCCCGUUCUCGUUCUGACUCUUGCUCUGUCACUCUCUUUUUCUCUCUCUGGCUUUAUCCUCUCUCUUGGAUAAAAUUACUUACUGCAAUGAGUUUUUUCAACAAUACGUGAGUUCCUGGUGGUCAGAAUACCUGGACCCUUCUCUAUUGUUCUUGGCUUUCCAGGACUCAGCCAAAACAGAGGCUUAAAGUCCCCCAACUUAACAUUCUCCCAGUGUAGCCUGGGAAAUCAACGGAAGAAAUGCUGCUCGCUGGAGUUCCUUCUUGAGAGUUGCAUGUACACAGUCCUAGUAAAGGCUCUGAGAAGUCCUUCAGACAAAAAGUUAUUAAAUUCUAUUUAACCCAGUGUUUCCCAGAUUAUUUGACCACAGAAUUCUUUCCUCAAAAUAUUUCUCUAUUGGUUAACCCAGGUCUGCUGAAGCAAAAGAGAGUGUAGGCUAGGGAUACUGGGAAUUCUCCUGGAAGCUGAGGCAGAAUGUGUCUGGCUCUCAGGAUGGAUGGACCAGGAAACUAACUGCCAGAACUGCGCUCCUCAUCCUUGUGGCCCUCCCUGCUGACCUGCCUGUCUGGUUGAAGUGCAGAACACAGCACUUUCCCCCCAACAUCCAGAGAUGGAGGACACAGGUCUCACCAAUCCAGAGAGACUGCCUUGACCCUUAUCCUGUCCCAAUUCCAAACCCCUUGGAGACAGGAUCCUGCUGAAUCUGUCAUCCCCUUCAUCCUUCACACACAGCAAGUCCACACCUCAACCUGGGCUAGUUUGGGAGGGGGUGUGGAAGGUAGUGAGUUUGUGGGGGGAUUACUAGAGAAAGGAAGGUUGUUGGUUUGUGAACUGGAUGGACACCCACUGAGACAGAUGCCCAGCCUGAGACGACCUGUGGGACAUUGCCAUCCCCAGCUGCAUCGCCUUUCUUUCCUUGAACACAUCAAGC
This 1262-nucleotide long non-coding RNA is filed under the name Homo sapiens (human). RNAcentral describes it as "long non-coding RNA NONHSAT246861". The record is from RNAcentral. Lineage: Eukaryota; Metazoa; Chordata; Mammalia; Primates; Hominidae.